RNAcentral lists this transfer RNA (127 nucleotides) under Penicillium olsonii. RNAcentral describes it as "tRNA-Pro". It matches the Rfam family "tRNA". Rfam says of the family: Transfer RNA (tRNA) molecules are approximately 80 nucleotides in length. Their secondary structure includes four short double-helical elements and three loops (D, anti-codon, and T loops). Further hydrogen bonds mediate the characteristic L-shaped molecular structure. tRNAs have two regions of fundamental functional importance: the anti-codon, which is responsible for specific mRNA codon recognition, and the 3' end, to which the tRNAs corresponding amino acid is attached (by aminoacyl-tRNA synthetases). tRNAs cope with the degeneracy of the genetic code in two manners: having more than one tRNA (with a specific anti-codon) for a particular amino acid; and 'wobble' base-pairing, i.e. permitting non-standard base-pairing at the 3rd anti-codon position. Lineage: Eukaryota; Fungi; Ascomycota; Eurotiomycetes; Eurotiales; Aspergillaceae. The record is from RNAcentral.
GGCCUGGUGGUCUAGUGGUAUGAUACGCGCUUCGGAUGAAACUUCGGAAAAAGUCCGGUCCUCUGAAAGGGGGACCUGGGGGCUCCCCCCAUGCGCGUGGCCCCGGGUUCGACUCCCGGCCAGGCCC